Molecule: ribosomal RNA, 497 nt
Filed under: uncultured bacterium
Lineage: Bacteria
Description: partial 16S ribosomal RNA
Rfam family: Bacterial small subunit ribosomal RNA
Source: RNAcentral
GACGAACGCUGGCGGCGUGCCUAAUACAUGCAAGUUGAGCGCUGAAGGUUGGUCCUUGUACCAACUGGAUGAGCAGCGCACGGGUGAGUAACGCGUGGGGAAUCUGCCUUUGAGCGGGGGACAACAUUUGGAAACGAAUGCUAAUACCGCAUAAAAACUUUAAACACAAGUUUUAAGUUUGAAAGAUGCAAUUGCAUCACUCAAAGAUGAUCCCGCGUUGUAUUAGCUAGUUGGUGAGGUAAAGGCUCACCAAGGCGAUGAUACAUAGCCGACCUGAGAGGGGGAUCGGCCACAGUGGGACUGAGACACGGCCCAAACUCCUACGGGAGGCAGCAGUAGGGAAUCUUCGGCAAUGGACGAAAGUCUGACCGAGCAACGCCGCGUGAGUGAAGAAGGUUGUCGGAUCGUAAAACUCUGUUGGUAGAGAAGAACGUUGGUGAGAGUGGAAAGCUCAUCAAGUGACGGUAACUACACAGAAAGGGACGGCUAACUACGUG